Paramuricea clavata is the source of this 1506-nucleotide non-coding RNA. The record is from the annotation of a GenBank genome assembly. NCBI's taxonomy places the organism in Eukaryota, Metazoa, Cnidaria, Anthozoa, Malacalcyonacea, Plexauridae.
UGUGACUUCCACCCUGGCUAGACAACAAGUCGUCAAGAUUCGAUACAACAAACAAAAACAGCAAAACAAAUUUUUUUUUACAAGACUUCUGUUGUACAGAUCUUCUACUACAUUAUUUAAAUUAAAGAAAUAGAGAAUAAUACAUGGGUGCGCGAAAUACCAGAUUUAUUUCGAGUGUUGAACAUGGUAUCUCACGAGUGAGCGCAGCGAACGAGUGAGAUAUCAUGUUCAACACAAGAAAUAAAUCUGGUAUUUCCAAGCAACCAUGUAUUUUUCUGUUUAUUAUAAAAAAACAAAAUUCAGUGAAAAACAAUAAAACGUCCGUGGCAAUGCGUUUUACAACAAAUGAUAUUUUCACACGUAAAAAUAUUGUAUUUUUUACGUGUGUUUAAAUACUAUUUUUCUCAGUGGCCAAAAACUCUAUAUAACACUUAUGUUUAUAUAAUAAAAGUUAAUAGUGUAUGCUUGCACUGAACCCCGAACUAUAUAUGUCUAGCCUCCUCCGCAAGCAUCUCUUAAUCGUCGAGAACUUAUAUAAUUUAGUUAUUCAAAUAACUGAUGUUCUUAUUGGGUUAUUGUGCAGGGAGAAAGAUGUCUAGUCUGAAUAUCCAUAUAACGUAAGUCAUAUAUCAGAAAGUGCGGCCUUUAUAGUAUUGUUGUAAUUAAAUUGACGGUAAUUAAAUAGUUUAAAUAAAUGAAAAUGUUAAAGGUUACUUGACCUCAUUUAUAGCAACAAAAAAGUUCAGUUUGAUCACAAAAUGUUUUGGAUAGAUAGAAAACGCUAAGAAUAAUAGGUGCAGUCUAAAGUAAUGCAAUUAGUUAUCUUGAUUAAUAUGAUAAAGUUCAACCUGUUUUGAGUCUUAUAUCUGAAAUUGUUGUGGUCCAUCGUUGUCAUUCAUUAUUCAAAGUUCCUGUGUCCCUGGCACGUCUUGGCGUCUUGUCAAAAAAUCAAUUUUCUUAUGAAGAAUGGCGACAAGCUCUUGAUAAAUGUCGAUGAUUUCUUUUUUUCGGUCAGGUAAGUUUGACCAUUGUGGAUUUACCUGUUAAAUUAAGCGAAAAGCAAUAAGCCCAUGAAUAUUUGCAUUGAUAAAAUAUCUGCAUUUGUUAUAUAGCUAUAGUGUGAACGCCAAAAGUGAUUGACUGAUUUGUGGCCACGUGACUUUAUGAAUGUUGUCAGAAUGUUAUUGAAUAUUGUUUUCGUCGCUAUAUACAGGGUGUAUAAAAAAAAACUGGACAGAUUUGAAAUUGCUCUCAAUUUCGAAAAACGGCUAUUAGUAUCCAGUUUUUGAUAUACUAUAGUGACUAUAGUGUGUUUUCACACCACGUCACGGCAUAAAUAAUUUUAUACGCCGCCAUGUUGGUGGAGUGAAGUUCCAACAUGGCGGCCAGCGAUUCAGAAGUAAACGUGAACAGCAAAGCAGAAAAAAGUAAUUAUUCAUGAGAUUCCUUUGUCUGAACAUGCAAAAUCUCUCGAAUACAGCAACAGUCAAAUGAUUCAGAUUGUGG